RNAcentral lists this ribosomal RNA (2667 nucleotides) under Triticum aestivum (bread wheat). RNAcentral's name for it is "partial small subunit ribosomal RNA". Lineage: Eukaryota; Viridiplantae; Streptophyta; Magnoliopsida; Poales; Poaceae. The record is from RNAcentral.
AUGAGGCCGGAGGCGAGGCUCGAUUCGGCGGCGUUCCAGCUCACCCCCACCCGCACCAGGUGUGAUUUGGUUGUGGUGUCCAAUGGGAGGAAGGAGAAGAUCGCCUCCGGCCUGCUCAACCCCUUCGUCGCCCACCUCAAGGUCGCCCAGGAGCAGAUCGCCAAGGGAGGCUACACCAUCCUGCUCCAGCCGGAUCCGGGUGCCGACGCGCCAUGGUUCACCAGGGGCACCAUCCAGAGGUUCGUCCGGUUCGUGAGCACGCCGGAGGUCCUGGAGCGGGUCACCACCAUCGAGUCCGAGAUACUGCAGCUCCACGACGCCAUCGCUGUCCAGAACAAUGCAAAUAUUGGCCUCAAAUCUGCAGACGCCCAUAAUGUGGACUCCUCCAUGGAAGGUAGCAAGACAAGUUAUGAUCCUGAUGGUGAUAAGGCACUCGUCCUGUACAAGCCUGACACGCAUCCAGCAUCUCCCCUGCAGAAUGACACUGGAGCGCAUGAGGAGCAUUCAAAAGUUCAGCUUCUCAGAGUGCUGGAGACUCGCAAGACUGUCUUACGUAAAGAGCAGGCUAUGGCCUUUGCACGUGCUGUAGCUGCUGGGUUUGAUAUAGACAACCUGAUAUAUUUGAUCUCGUUCGCAGAGCGUUUUGGUGCUUCACGCUUGAUGAAGGCAUGCACACAGUUCAUUGAUUUGUGGAGGCAAAAACAUGAAACUGGACAGUGGAUUGAUGUUGAACCUGAAGCAAUGUCUGCACGCUCUGAAUUUCCUCCCUUCAAUGCUGCUGGCAUUAUGUUAAUGGGAGAUAAGGAAACAAUGUCUGUCUCUAAUGGAGAUACAAAUGGCGAAGAUGCUGCUAAAGCUGAUCAUAGGACACCUCAGCACCCAGGAGCUCCCCAUCAUGGUCCAUAUCAAUCAGGAUAUCCACCAUGGGCAAUGCAUCCUCCUUACCCCAUGCAAGGCAUGCCACCAUACUACCCUGGGGCGAACCCAUAUUACCCUCCUCCCUACCCCCCAACGGAUGAUCCCAGGUACAACCGUUCAGAAAGGAGACUAUCAAGGAGGCACUCAGCAGAUAGCAAGGACUUUGACAACUCCGAUGAUGAAAGUGAUGACCAAAGUGGUUCAGAGAGGGAGAGCUCUCAUGGCCGCAAGUCGAGUAAAAAGGGCAAUCGCUCGGGCAAGAAGAAAUCUAAUGUAAUUGUCAUACGCAAUGUAAAUGUAACAUCAAGGAAGAAGCAUGGGUCAUCAGAGAGUGAGUCGCAAUCAGGCUCUGAUGUGGCAUCAGAAGAUAGUGACGAUUCACACAGAAAAUCCAGCAAGAGGAAUCAUCAUAAGCGCUCAAGCUCGAAGAAAAAAGGGGAUAAAAAAACCACUGCUGAGUCUGAAGAUGAGUAUACAAAGGAUGGAAUGUCUAAUGGGCAGCAAGAUGGAGAUCAAGGAAACUGGAACGCGUUCCAGAAUUUCUUGCUCAGAGAUGAAGAGAAGACAAGAGAUCAUAAUGACGGGGACAUGUUCGCCAGUGAAAGAGAAGCAGCACCACCUAGGAGGAAAGAGACCACACGAAGUAUUGAUGAUCCUAUUCUUUUAUCAGAGCGAGGCUCUGCUGAUGUCAAUGAGCGGCAUGCGAUGUCUUUCAGUUCAGCCAACGGGAGACUUAGGGCCAGGCAGAUGAUGUCUGGUGAUGAACUUAUGAUGUCUGCGGAAGGUCGGAGCUUUGUGGAUGGUGGCAUGAAGGAGAUAGAAGCUGGAGGUGGGGGAUACAGAAGAGGGGCAAAUGAUGACUUCAUGGUUUAUGGACAUGACAACUCAAUGGACAGGAGGAGCUCCUUGGACCCCCUUGCCGAGGCGCAUUACAAGAGACCCACUCCUCUAGAGGAAAAGAAGAAUGUGCACAGUAUGGGCGAUGAGUCCUUCAUGAUACCUGUUACCUCCAACUCACAGGAUAAUCUUGGAGCAGCCGGCCGUACUGCCAUUGACAUAGAUGCCGAGCUUGGCUCAAGUGUUCAGAAAACAUCAGAUGCUAAGGCUGGAGCUGAACUUUUCUAUGAGCCAGAUGAGUUGAUUCCAGAGCGUGGAUUUGAAGAUGUUUCAUUUGGAUAUGACCCAUCAAUGGACUAUGACAGCCACAUGCAGAUUCAGCGUGAUGUCAGCGUUGAAGAUGCAAAUGCAGAGGACUUAUCCGUUUGUGUUGAGGGUGAAGAAAAGAUGCCGGGGAAAGAUAAGAAGCUUAGAGGUUCACAGGAGGGCUUGGAUAAAAGAAGGAAGGAUGCCUCUGCAAGGAGAUUAUCAGCGCCCAAAGGCCCACUAACCGAUGCUCAGAAACGCGCGCAAAACCUACGGGCUUACAAAGCGGGCCUUCAAAAGGAAAAGAAGGAGCUGGAAGCGGAGCAGAUGAAACGGCUGGAAAGGCUUAAGCAAGAGAGGGAAAAGAGGAUUGCUGCCAGAAGCGGCGCAUCGAAUCCCCAGAAAACAGCAGCUAAAGCAAGCACGGUGAGCAAGUCAACCUCAUCCUUGGCUGAGAUGAAAAAGGAGAAAAGUGGCGGCGGCGGCACAACCGAAUCGUUGAUUGAGCGAUUGAAAAAGCUUGCUCAACCUAAAACCAAUGCUUCAACUUUGAAUCCCAAGUCAGCGACCGCGGACCACCCACGGAGAAGAAGCUUGCCGCAAUAA